UUAACUCUUGAAGCAUAUUUUGGUUUUUGGUUGUGUUGUGAGCAUUUGGUCAUGAAUUAAAAUGAAGGAAAUGGUUGUUGUUUCAUGUUCUUUUGAUGAAAAAUGGAAGAUAGGUGAAGUUGAGCCAAACAAAUGAUCAUGCAUGUGCCUUAGAUGCUAAAGGGAAAAAUCGGCUAACAUGUUGUGCUUUAAAAUGAUGAAAUGGAG
Molecule: long non-coding RNA, 207 nt
Filed under: Gossypium barbadense (sea-island cotton)
Lineage: Eukaryota; Viridiplantae; Streptophyta; Magnoliopsida; Malvales; Malvaceae
Description: long non-coding RNA (GBAR_LNC010278)
Source: RNAcentral